CUGAGGCUACUCGCAGAGGAAGAAAAAAAGCUUCGUCGAUGGCGUCGCACAGGGUGGUUCAAAGGAUCGUCGCCGGCGGCGGCGGCGGCGGCUGCGGCGGCGGCUCAAUGCUGGGGCUCAGCCGCGGGUUCCACGCCUUGGCCCGACCCGCGCCCUCGAACGACCUCGUGGCGCCCGCCGUCGCGUCUCCGCCGCCGGUCUUGCCCGAGCACGGUCGGUUGCCGGAGGACGGCCGCGUCGGGAUCGAUUUCCCGAGCUUCGGCGUGGGAGGGCCCAUGGAGCUCAUGGCCGUCCCGAAGAAGAAGGUUUCCCGCCACAAGAAAGGUAUAAGGAAUGGACCCAAGGCUCUGAAACCUGUUCCAGUGAUAAUUCGGUGCACGGUAUGUGGUCGUGUCAAGCUGCCUCAUUUUAUUGCUGCAGUGGGGAUAGAGGAAGGGAAGAUGGGCAGAACUCGUGAACCAUCUUGCCAGGUGUACUAUGUUAAUUACCUUUAGCGGUAUACUCACAAAGCAAGAUGUUGCCUGAUGUUCUUUAGAUGAUUUUUCACUUUGUUUAAGAGCCUGUAGUACAAGCGUUUCUUUUUGGCUGGAGUAGUGCAAGUUGUAGUCCGCUUGAUGCUUUUUUAAUUCAUGUUACCGAAUUAUUUAGGCAACAUCAAUGGUGAGUGGAGUUUUUUCUUUGGCCAAAUGCGUUGACUAGGUUGGAUUGGCCA
RNA transcript from Eucalyptus grandis, 712 nucleotides. RefSeq lists it as uncharacterized. NCBI's taxonomy places the organism in Eukaryota, Viridiplantae, Streptophyta, Magnoliopsida, Myrtales, Myrtaceae. The record is from RefSeq and is a predicted model, not a curated record. The transcript has 3 exons.